RNAcentral lists this ribosomal RNA (497 nucleotides) under uncultured bacterium. RNAcentral describes it as "partial 16S ribosomal RNA". It matches the Rfam family "Bacterial small subunit ribosomal RNA", at positions 28 to 507 of the family's 1533-position model. The record is from RNAcentral.
GAUGAACGCUGGCGGCGUGCCUAAUACAUGCAAGUCGAGCGAACGGACGAGAAGCUUGCUUCUCUGAUGUUAGCGGCGGACGGGUGAGUAACACGUGGAUAACCUACCUAUAAGACUGGGAUCACUUCGGGAAACCGGAGCUAAUACCGGAUAAUAUUUUGAACCGCAUGGUUCAAAAGUGAAAGACGGUCUUGCUGUCACUUAUAGAUGGAUCCGCGCUGCAUUAGCUAGUUGGUAAGGUAACGGCUUACCAAGGCAACGAUGCAUAGCCGACCUGAGAGGGGGAUCGGCCACACUGGAACGGAGACACGGUCCAGACGACUACGGGAGGCAGCAGUAGGGAAUGUUCGGCAAUGGGCGGAAGCCUGGCGGAGCAACGCCGCGUGAGUGAUGAAGGUCUUCGGAGCGUAAAACCCGGUUAUUAGGGAAGAACAUAUGUGUAAGUAACUGUGCACAUCUUGACGGUACCUAGUCAGAAAGCCACGGCUAACUACGUG